AACGCUAGCUACAGGCUUAACACAUGCAAGUCGAGGGGCAGCAUGGUCUUAGCUUGCUAAGGCUGAUGGCGACCGGCGCACGGGUGAGUAACACGUAUCCAACCUGCCGUCUACUCUUGGCCAGCCUUCUGAAAGGAAGAUUAAUCCAGGAUGGGAUCAUGAGUUCACAUGUCCGCAUGAUUAAAGGUAUUUUCCGGUAGACGAUGGGGAUGCGUUCCAUUAGAUAGUAGGCGGGGUAACGGCCCACCUAGUCAACGAUGGAUAGGGGUUCUGAGAGGAAGGUCCCCCACAUUGGAACUGAGACACGGUCCAAACUCCUACGGGAGGCAGCAGUGAGGAAUAUUGGUCAAUGGGCGAUGGCCUGAACCAGCCAAGUAGCGUGAAGGAUGACUGCCCUAUGGGUUGUAAACUUCUUUUAUAAAGGAAUAAAGUCGGGUAUGCAUACCCGUUUGCAUGUACUUUAUGAAUAAGGAUCGGCUAACUCCGUGCCAGCAGCCGCGGUAAUACGGAGGAUCCGAGCGUUAUCCGGAUUUAUUGGGUUUAAAGGGAGCGUAGAUGGAUGUUUAAGUCAGUUGUGAAAGUUUGCGGCUUAACCGUAAAAUUGCAGUUGAUACUGGAUGUCUUGAGUGCAGUUGAGGCAGGCGGAAUUCGUGGUGUAGCGGUGAAAUGCUUAGAUAUCACGAAGAACUCCGAUUG
Molecule: ribosomal RNA, 696 nt
Filed under: uncultured bacterium
Lineage: Bacteria
Description: bacterial SSU rRNA
Rfam family: Bacterial small subunit ribosomal RNA
Source: RNAcentral